Long non-coding RNA from Polistes dominula (European paper wasp), 1058 nucleotides. The record is from RefSeq and is a predicted model, not a curated record. Lineage: Eukaryota; Metazoa; Arthropoda; Insecta; Hymenoptera; Vespidae.
GUAUUCGAAGUCUUUCAACAGCCCAAGCUUCUACGGAACGAUUACCACUUGCUGAUUGUAUGGCACCCAUAUGUUCAGCGUACCAAGCUACCUUGGCCUACAUUAUGGUCCUUUUAAAAGAAGAAGAAGUAUGAAAAGAAAAAGAAAAAAAAGAAAGAAAGAAAGGAGAAAAAGGGGAAGAAAUAUCGUUCACGAUUACGAGCCGUAACUCGUCAACGCCUUAUUUAAACCGGCGUCUCGAAACAAGCUCGUUUAAAGAUGGAGCAAUUUCCAUUCAUCAUUGAUUCAACAAAAUAUAGUCGCGACAUAUUAAAUAAUCGGAGCGUAGAUUUUUCCUGUUAACGUUCCCAACAAACGUAACGUUUAUUUUUUUAUCAAGGAUAUUGACAUGAAGACAUUUCGGAGUAUUAGUUCAUUUGUUUGUAUUUGCUAUUGAACUUUUUGAUUACCAUCACCAAUGAUAACAUAUAAUUAUUCGUAUAAUUGAAUUAGAAAUGCAAAUUUAAAACAAAAAAAGGUUGAAAAUUAUAGAACAUCUUCCAGGAAAAUGAUCAUUUUAGAUAGAAACUUUCUCCCUUUCAUUAACGGAUCAUUGCUUAUCUAUCAUUGAAAAAUUAGUUAAAAAAAAACAGUACUUUCUCAUUGACAUUACAUAAUUACAUCUAGUAAUGAAGCAGACGACAAAUCAGAUAUAAGAUAUAAGUACUGUUAAUUCUUUAUAUCUACUCAUGUACCUCGAAUAUUUCUCAAACUUGUGGGAAAUUUUAUCUAGUUUAGAUAAGGAAUAAAUUGUUCCCUCUUCGUACUCUAAUUACAAUAAAAAAAAGGAUGUUACGUUUGGUGUCUAUUUGAGGAUCGCACCGUAUCUUAACUGUAAUUGUAACGGACAACCUGGUUCCUUAACUGCAAUGAGUACAAGGCUGUAAUGCUGCAAUCUUACUUUCAGUUACGCUUGUGCUCGUGUUAUCCUGGUAACUUCUGCUAAAUAUUCUCGCUUCUCCCUUUCAUACUUUAAGCAAGGUCGAUCGUAAUAAAUAAUAAAAAAAGUUUAAUAUAUA